UCCUACGGGGCGCAGCAGUGGGGAAUAUUGCGCAAUGGGCGAAAGCCUGACGCAGCAACGCCGCGUGGGGGAUGAAGGUUCUCGGAUUGUAAACCCCUUUCGAUCGGAACGAAUCCCCUCCUGGUAAAUAAUCAGGAGGAUCGACGGUACCGAGAGAAGAAGCCACGGCUAACUCUGUGCCAGCAGCCGCGGUAAGACAGAGGUGGCUAGCGUUGUUCGGAUUUAUUGGGCGUAAAGCGCACGCAGGCGGUUUGGUAAGUCAGAGGUGAAAGCCCACGGCUUAACCGUGGCAUUGCCUUUGAUACUGCCUUUCUUGAGUAGAGUAGGGGGAAGCGGAAUUCCGAGUGUAGAGGUGAAAUUCGUAGAUAUUCGGAGGAACACCGGUGGCGAAGGCGGCUUCCUGGACUCUAACUGACGCUCAUGUGCGAAAGCGUGGGGAGCAAACAGGAUUAGAUACCCGCGUAGUCCC
Molecule: ribosomal RNA, 469 nt
Filed under: uncultured bacterium
Lineage: Bacteria
Description: bacterial SSU rRNA
Rfam family: Bacterial small subunit ribosomal RNA
Source: RNAcentral